RNAcentral lists this ribosomal RNA (478 nucleotides) under uncultured bacterium. RNAcentral describes it as "partial 16S ribosomal RNA". It matches the Rfam family "Bacterial small subunit ribosomal RNA", at positions 28 to 523 of the family's 1533-position model. The record is from RNAcentral.
GACGAACGCUGGCGGCGUGCUUAACUCAUGCAAGUCGAACGGUAAGGCCCUUCGGGGUACACGAGUGGCGAACGGGUGAGUAACACGUGGGUGAUCUGCCCUGCACUUCGGGAUAAGCCUGGGAAACUGGGUCUAAUACCGGAUAGGACCACUGCCUGCAUGGGUGGUGGUGGAGAGCUUUUGCGGUGUGGGAUGGGCCCGCGGCCUGUCAGCUUGUUGGUGGGGGGAUGGCCUACCAAGGCGACGACGGGUAGCCGGCCUGAGAGGGGGACCGGCCACACUGGGACUGAGAUACGGCCCAGACGCCUACGGGAGGCAGCAGUGGGGAAUAUUGCACAAUGGGCGCAAGCCUGAUGCAGCGACGCCGCGUGAGGGAUGACGGCCUUCGGGUUGUAAACCUCUUUCAGCACCGACGAAGCGCAAGUGACGGUAGGUGCAGAAGAAGGACCGGCCAACUACGUGCCAGCCGCCGCGGUAA